Molecule: non-coding RNA, 84 nt
Organism: Dictyostelium discoideum AX4
Lineage: Eukaryota; Evosea; Eumycetozoa; Dictyosteliales; Dictyosteliaceae
Source: the annotation of a RefSeq genome assembly
AAGUGUGUGGCAGAGUGGUUAUUGCGUGACGUUCAGGGCUUCAUUUCGUUAACCGAUUCCCGGGAUCGAAACCCGGCACACAUA